GCGCUCGUAGCUCAAUUGGAUAGAGUCUUGGCCUCCGAAGCCAAAUGUUGGGUGUUCAAAUCACCUCGAGCGUACCA
RNAcentral lists this transfer RNA (77 nucleotides) under thiotrophic endosymbiont of Bathymodiolus puteoserpentis (Logatchev). RNAcentral's name for it is "tRNA-Arg-CCG". It matches the Rfam family "tRNA". Rfam says of the family: Transfer RNA (tRNA) molecules are approximately 80 nucleotides in length. Their secondary structure includes four short double-helical elements and three loops (D, anti-codon, and T loops). Further hydrogen bonds mediate the characteristic L-shaped molecular structure. tRNAs have two regions of fundamental functional importance: the anti-codon, which is responsible for specific mRNA codon recognition, and the 3' end, to which the tRNAs corresponding amino acid is attached (by aminoacyl-tRNA synthetases). tRNAs cope with the degeneracy of the genetic code in two manners: having more than one tRNA (with a specific anti-codon) for a particular amino acid; and 'wobble' base-pairing, i.e. permitting non-standard base-pairing at the 3rd anti-codon position. Lineage: Bacteria; Pseudomonadati; Pseudomonadota; Gammaproteobacteria. RNAcentral also lists the same sequence under 1 other name. The record is from RNAcentral.